Erinaceus europaeus (western European hedgehog) is the source of this 110-nucleotide ribosomal RNA. The record is from Ensembl. Lineage: Eukaryota; Metazoa; Chordata; Mammalia; Eulipotyphla; Erinaceidae.
GUCUAUGGCCAUACCACCCUGAACACGCCCGAUCUCGUCUGAUCUCGGAAGCUAAGCAGUGUCGGGCCUGGUUAGUACUUGGAUGGGAGAAAGUUAUUUUAUUAAAGUCU